RNAcentral lists this unclassified non-coding RNA (266 nucleotides) under Hevea brasiliensis (rubber tree). The record is from RNAcentral. Lineage: Eukaryota; Viridiplantae; Streptophyta; Magnoliopsida; Malpighiales; Euphorbiaceae.
AGCGCGUUCAUCUACUGAAGCAGAAUAUCCCUCCAUUGGUGCUGCAGCUGCUGAACUAACUUGGAUUCAAACUCUGCUUUGUGAGUUGUCCAUUUUAUCUACACAAAUUCCUACUCUGUGGUGCGAUAAUGUAGGUGCCACCUACCUCACAACUAAUCCCAUCUUCCAUUGCCGCAUGAAACACGUUGAAGUGGACUAUCAUUUUGUGUGAGACACGGUGGCUAAUAAAGACCUGCAAGUUUGCUACAUAUCUUCUAAGGAUCAAG